GAGUGAAGCGGCAACAGCUCAAAUUUGAAAUCUGGCCCUCGGGUCCGAGUUGUAAUUUGUAGAGGAUGCUUUUGGUGAGGUACCUUCCGAGUUCCCUGGAACGGGACGCCAUAGAGGGUGAGAGCCCCGUCUGGUUGGAUACCGAUCCUCUGUAAAGCUCCUUCGACGAGUCGAGUAGUUUGGGAAUGCUGCUCUAAAUGGGAGGUAUAUGUCUUCUAAAGCUAAAUAUUGGCCAGAGACCGAUAGCGCACAAGUAGAGUGAUCGAAAGAUGAAAAGCACUUUGAAAAGAGAGUUAAAAAGUACGUGAAAUUGUUGAAAGGGAAGCGCUUAUGACCAGACUUGGACUUGGUUGAUCAUCCUGGGUUCUCCCUGGUGCACUCUUCCAGUUCAGGCCAGCAUCAGUUCGCUGCGGGGGAUAAAAGUUUUGGGAAUGUGGCUCCCUCGGGAGUGUUAUAGCCCAUUGCAUAAUACCCUGCUCCGGACUGAGGUUCGCGCAUCUGCAAGGAUGCUGGCGUAAUGGUCAUCAGCGACCCGUCUUGAAACACGGACCAAGGAGUCGUCUUCGUAUGCGAGUGUUCGGGUGUUAAACCCCUACGCGUAAUGAAAGUGAACGCAGGUGAGAGCUUCGGCGCAUCAUCGACCGAUCCUGAUGUUCUCGGAUGGAUUUGAGUAAGAGCAUACGGGGCCGGACCCGAAAGAAGGUGAACUAUGCCUGUAUAGGGUGAAGCCAGAGGAAACUCUGGUGGAGGCUCGCAGCGGUUCUGACGUGCAAAUCGAUCGUCAAAUAU
RNAcentral lists this ribosomal RNA (789 nucleotides) under Calonectria californiensis. RNAcentral describes it as "partial large subunit ribosomal RNA". It matches the Rfam family "Eukaryotic large subunit ribosomal RNA", at positions 91 to 912 of the family's 3401-position model. Lineage: Eukaryota; Fungi; Ascomycota; Sordariomycetes; Hypocreales; Nectriaceae. The record is from RNAcentral.